Molecule: non-coding RNA, 5421 nt
Organism: Oryctolagus cuniculus (rabbit)
Lineage: Eukaryota; Metazoa; Chordata; Mammalia; Lagomorpha; Leporidae
Source: RefSeq, a predicted model, not a curated record
UAGGCUAAUCCUUCGCCUUGCGGCGCUGGCACACCGGGUUCUAGUCCCGGUCGGGGUGCCAGAUUCUGUCCCGGUUGCCCCUCUUCCAGGCCAGCUCUCUGCUGUGGCCAGGGAGUGCAGUGGAGGAUGGCCCAAGUAUUUGGGCCCUGCACCCCAUGGGAGACCAGGAGAAGUACCUGGCUCCUGCCAUUGGAUCAGCGCGGUGCGCCGGCCGCAGCGUGCUGGCCGCGGUGGCUAUUGGAGGGUGAACCAACGGCAAAGGAAGACCUUUCUCUCUGUCUCUCUCUCUCACUGUGCACUCUGCCUGUCAAAAAAAAAAAAAAAAGAUUUAUUAUUGGGGGCCGGCACCAUGGCUCACUUGGUUAAUCCUCCGCCUGCAGCGCCGGCAUCCCAUAUGGGCACCGGGUUCUAGUCCCGGUUGCCCCUCUUCCAGGCCAGCUCUCUGCUGUGGCCCGGGAGUGCAGUGGAGGAUGGCCCAAGUGCUUGGGCCCCUGCACCCGCAUCGGAGACCAGGAGAAGCACCUGGCUCCUGGCUUCAGAUCGGCACAGCAGCCAUUUUGGGGGUGAACCAUCAGAUGGAAGACAUUUCUCUCUGUCUCUCUCACUGUCUAACUCUGUCAAAUAAAAAAAAAUAAGAUUUAUUAUUUGCAAAGCAGAGUUCCACAGAGAGAAGGAGAGACAGAAAGAGAUACAGAGAGCUCUUCCACCUGCUGGCUCACUCCCUAGAUGGCCACAACAGCCGGGGCUGAAGGGAGCCCGGAACUCCCUCCAGAUCUCCCAAGGUGGGGUGGCAGGGGCCCAAGGAAUUGGGCGGUCAGCUGAUGCUUUCCUGACCACAUUAGCAGUGAGCCAGAUUGGAAGUAGAGCAGCCGGGACUGGAACCUGCACGCGGGUAUGGGAUGCACGUGUUGUAGACGGUGGCUUAAUUGGCCAUGCCACAACACCGGCCCUUCAGCCCAGAAGUAUUUUAACCAUGCCAAAAAGGGGGGUGGAGGCUGGAAUAGUGAAAAAAAAAACUUUGGGAUUUUUGGCUUCCAAGAAAAGGGGAAAAGUGGAAGAUUUACUAUUGUUUAGCCUUUGAGCGGUUUCCCUGUGUGCCCCUGAAAUUUCUGUUGUGCUUGGCCCGUGGAUUUCUCCUCUGUGGCUUGUCAGUUUCAGCGGCGCGGGUGCUGAGAGGCUGUGCAGGCUGUGUGUGCCUCCUCGAGGCAGGUGGCAGGGGUCGGGAGCGCUGUCUGCCUCCCCCAUCUGCGGGAGCAUGAUGGGAGCCGCAGUGUAUUUUGGUUUUGUCUGAGUCGCAGCCUGGAGGUGUGCUCUCUACUGGAAGAAUACAGCUCCUUCGCAAUAAUCAUCUAUUCUACCAUAUUGGGCGGGGGUGGUCGUGCCGAUUGUUUGCUCCGGUGAACGGGAUCAGUCUUUUUUCAUUUAAGAUGCAGAGACACUGACGGAACAAACCCAACACGGGUGUUUCACACCCAUAGAAUUUACCAGGACGUCUCCGCAUCACUUAUUCAAGAACAUGUCUGCAAGAUGCCACUGUAACAGGUGCAAAGGGAGAAACUCAGACAGCCACGUAGGCUUUGCCUACAAACGCUCACCGGCUAUUUGCCUCGCUUAAAACCACGCUAGCUGGUGAUUUAAUGAGACUGAUGGAACCAAGUCGGUGUUCCCUGCAGCCACGAGAAGAUGUAUAUAUUCCCCUUCGGAAAGGGCUGCUGCCCUAUUGUAGAAAGUGACGUGCAGUUAGCCGGUUUCCUUCAAAUGUGACUCUCCGGGAAGAAUAAAAUUGAAUAGAGAAAGGAGCAGGCUUCUUCUUGCUUGCUUCUCAUUUCCCCAGGAUUCUGUGACUCAACAUAGAAUCCUGCUACAACCGCCUUCAAGCUGCUUCACAGAACCUGUCAGGGGUGCGCCCUGCCUGCCAUGGGACUCAGCUGAUAGCCUGUCAAUACAGUUACAGGGAGAGACUGCUGGGUUUGCGCCCCUGACAACCUCAAACCUCCUGGCGCCCUGCAGAAAGCAGCCUGUGUUCAGGGCCUGACUUUGCGGAAGCGAGCACCCUCGGAAAGUGCAAAUGAUCACGACGCCCGAUUUCUCCAUAAUUUAUUGCUGACUUUGUUUUUCCGUGGGCGUUUAUGUCACAAAUAAGAAGUGCAUGCCUCUGUACGAUAGAGUCAUAGAAUCAGCGUUUGGGGGUGCAGAGCAGCUGACGCAGACACCCAGCCCAGCCAGGGGGGAGAGGCCCGGCCUGAGGUGCUACGCUGACGUGGUGGCAGAAGCAGGGGGAGACCCAGGCGCGUGGCCUCCAGCCCCGUGAUUUUUUGGACAUAAAAUGCAAUUAGUUCAUCAGUGACGACUUAGACUGGGUACAUGUUGCAUAGCACCCAGCCCAAGAAAGUCACAAAUGAAUCUGAUUCCAGGAUCAUUUUAUUCAGUGUUCCUUCCCAAGUGAGAUCUACUGAUGUCGCAGGGCUUGUGGACGGCCAAGAAAUACUUCCUGAAUGUUUUCAAGGCUCAGCGCCAUCAUGAGCUCUCUUGGAAGACACGGGUUUAGAAUGCAGCCUUGCCCACCAGGAGUUAACGCAGAUUUUCAGCUGGGGACAUGAGAUGAGUCUUAGUGUAGCUAGCACCUGCCUUAAAGAAAGCUCUCAGGAGAUGCUAACUCCUAGUGUACAUAUGUGUACGUGCGUGCACACACACACAUACACGCGUAAUAUGAAGGCAACGUCAUGGGUAGGCUUUCAAGUGAACCACACUGCCCAGAGGGUUGGUGAUUGAGGGGAGGGAGCCCCGGGCAGGGCUUGGUGGAGCUUUACAAAGCAGCAGACCUGGAAGCAGACUUUGAAGGGGCAAGAGGCAGAGUCAGAAGGGGGUGAGGAAGGGGGCUGGAAAGAAAGCCAGCCGUCCUUAGACAUGGCCUGCAUGUCUGUUGUUUUCACCCCAAACGCGAGUUCGGGUUCAUGGGCCUCAGCACCUCUACUGAGAUCCUUACGAUGACCACCACGGGGAACCCGUCACUGAGCGCCGGUGUGCUCGGGUGGAAUGAAUGCCCUUGCAGAAUUAGGUGACCACACCGGGCCCACAAGCAGCUUCACGUCUGCUCACAGAGACAAGGCGAAGGGGGCAGGUGGACGGAACAGGUGCACCAGUAACCAGCGUGGUCACUCUGUGUUAGGUGGACAGAACAGGUGCACCAGUAACCAGCGUGGUCACUCUGUAUUAGCGUGGUCACUCUGUAUUAGGUGGAUGGAACAGGUGCACCAGUAACCAGCGUGGUCACUCUGUGUUAGGUGGACAGAACAGGUGCACCAGUAACCAGCGUGGUCACUCUGUAUUAGGUGGACGGAACAGGUGCACCAGUAACCAGCGUGGUCACUCUGUAUUAGGUGGAUGGAACAGGUGCACCAGUAACCAGCGUGGUCACUCUGUAUUAGGUGGACGGAACAGGUGCACCAGUAUCCCAGCGUGGUCACUCUGUGUUAGGUGGACGGAACAGGUGCACCAGUAACCAGCGUGGUCACUCUGUGUUAGGUGGACGGAACAGGUGCACCAGUAACCAGCGUGGUCACUCUGUGUUAGGUGGACGGAACAGGUGCACCAGUAACCAGCGUGGUCACUCUGUGUUAGGUGGAUGGAACAGGUGCACCAGUAUCCCAGCGUGGUCACUCUAUGUUAGGUGGACGGAACAGGUGCACCAGAAACCAGCGUGGUCACUCUGUGCUAGCCUCGUGCACAAUGGGAAACGGUGCAGGAGGCUUUAUAUGCCGACCAGAAUAGCCCUCUGGUUGCUCAAAUCCUUUUACGCCCAAUUACAACAUAACGGGAUUAAGAAAUGGGCUUCCCGUCCUAAUGGCCUGGCCUUGGCUGGCUGGUGGGCAGGUUUCCUUUUACUGUGGGGCACGGUGGGUUUCUCUGUCCUUGCUUCUCUCUCUCUCUCUCUCUCUUGCUUUCCCUCACUCAUGUGCUUUCUCUCUCCCUCCUUCUCUCCUAUUUUUUCUUUUUUCCUCUUUUAAAAUCAAAGCCUCCCUCUUCCUGGUGCCAGCCCAUCUGUGGAGGAGGCUGAAGCAGUGAACCGAGCCCCCUGCCGGGCCCAGGGGCCAAUCCAGAAAGCAGAGCUGCUUCUGCUCCCGUGGCUCCUCAGCACCGCCUGGGGGCAGCUGCCCGCCAGAGGAGCCCCGCCUCCCUCCUUGUCCCCCAGCAAAAGGGGUGCUUGGGCUUUGAAGCAGUAAAGAGAACGGGACCUCAGAAUCCGGGUUCCUCCUGCCCGACACCUUCCGCCUCGGUGGCUCUCAGAAGGCUGCAGUGGUGUGGCUGGGAGGUCAGUCCUCCAGCAAGACUUCUGAAGCCUGGCCGGGCAAGUCGGCAGUGGCUUCCAGCACCUUCCAGACGGUUCCAGGCUCAAAGUUUGUUCACGCUAUGAUCCGGCUGCUUUUCCCCCACUUAUUUGAAAGACGAGGUUGUCUCGACGUGUAACUGGCCCUGCGGACAGAGUUUCAAAACGGUUUUCUGCUGCAGAGUUUUUCAGACUAGUACGGUCUCAUGAAACAAACUCAGAGUUUUUAAAGAAGCCACGUCUUUAUUUUAAAAAUUUUGCCACAGAGUAAAUGCGAUUCGACGCGCCCCACAGUGUUAGCUGUGCUUUGAGUUUGCUGAUCUCGGGGCGUUAGUCCUGUGGUUGUGUUCGCAACACUGAUACAUGUGUCCCGGGCAGCGAAGGCUCGCACCAGACGUGGGACAUUAAGGUCGGGCAAGUGCGAUGGUGCAGGGCCCGCCCUGCCGCAUUCCCCGAGAACAGAGCUCUGUCCAGCUCCAGCCCCAGGACCUUUGGGGCAGCUGGGCGAAGGCACAGCAGUCGCGCUCACCCGGCCGUUGGUUGGUGUGAGCUAGCGUAGGUUGCAUUUGUAGAGUGCAGUGGAUUGUCUCUCAUCAGACCUCUCAUCAGAUCGCAAAAAGUAAGAAACGCCAGCGUUCAGUGGUUUGGGGAAGGCUCAACUGGAAGUGAAAUUCUCCGUUGAGUCUUUGUGCAAGCUCCUGAAUCAGGGCUAACCCGGGAGGCGGGGGUGGGGGGAGACUGUUAAAACCCUUCCAGGCCGGCGCCGCAGCUCACUAGGCUAAUCCUCCACCUUGCGGUGCUGGCACCCCGGGUUCUAGUCCCGGUCGGGGUGCCGGAUUCUGUCCCAGUUGCCCCUCUUCCAGGCCAGCUCUCUGCUAUGGCCAGGGAGGGCAGUGGAGGAUGGCCUAAGUGCUUGGGCCCUGCACCCCAUGGGAGACCAGGAGAAGCACCUGGCUCCUGCCAUCGGAUCAGCGCAAUGCGCCGGUCGCGGCGGCCAUUGGAGGGUGAACCAACGGCAAAAGAAAACCUUUCUCUCUGUCUCUCUCUCUCACUGUCCACUCUGCCUGUCAAAAAAAAAAAAAAAAAAAAACAAA